AUCCUGGCUUAGGAUGAACGCUGGCGGCGUGCUUAACACAUGCAAGUCGAACGAAGCACCUCUAAUCGAAGAUUGAGAAAGCUUGCUUUGAUGAUCACUGAGGUGACUGAGUGGCGGACGGGUGAGUAACGCGUGGGUAACCUACCCUAUACAGGGGGAUAACAGUUGGAAACGACUGCUAAUACCGCAUAAGCGCACAGGACCGCAUGGUCUAGUGUGAAAAACUCCGGUGGUAUAGGAUGGACCCGCGUCUGAUUAGCUAGUUGGUGAGGUAACGGCUCACCAAGGCGACGAUCAGUAGCCGACCUGAGAGGGUGACCGGCCACAUUGGGACUGAGACACGGCCCAAACUCCUACGGGAGGCAGCAGUGGGGAAUAUUGCACAAUGGGCGAAAGCCUGAAUGCAGCGACGCCGCGUGAACGAAGAAGUAUUUCGGUAUGUAAAGUUCUAUCAGCAGGGAAGAAAAAUGACGGUACCUGACUAAGAAGCUCCGGCUAAAUACGUGCCAGCCGCCGC
RNAcentral lists this ribosomal RNA (517 nucleotides) under uncultured bacterium. RNAcentral describes it as "bacterial SSU rRNA". It matches the Rfam family "Bacterial small subunit ribosomal RNA", at positions 16 to 518 of the family's 1533-position model. The record is from RNAcentral.